RNAcentral lists this ribosomal RNA (296 nucleotides) under uncultured bacterium. RNAcentral's name for it is "partial 16S ribosomal RNA". It matches the Rfam family "Bacterial small subunit ribosomal RNA", at positions 28 to 334 of the family's 1533-position model. The record is from RNAcentral.
GAUGAACGCUGGCGGCGUGCCUAAUACAUGCAAGUCGAGCGGCAGCGCGUCUAGUUUACUAGAUGGCGGCGAGCGGCGGAUGGCUGAGUAACGCGUGGGAACGUGCCCCAAAGUGAGGAAUAACUGCCCGAAAGGGUGGCUAAUACCGCAUAGUCUCUUAGGAGUAAAGCAUUUAUGCGCUCUGGGAGCGGCCCGCGUGCGAUUAGAUAGUUGGUGAGGUAAAGGCUCACCAAGUCGACGAUCGCUAACUGGUUUGAGAGGAUGAUCAGUCAGACUGGAACUGAGACACGGUCCAG